ACGCUGGCGGCGUGCCUAAUACAUGCAAGUAGAACGCUGAAGCUUGGUGCUUGCACCGAGCGGAUGAGUUGCGAACGGGUGAGUAACGCGUAGGUAACCUGCCUCUUAGCGGGGGAUAACUAUUGGAAACGAUAGCUAAUACCGCAUAAAAGUCGACAUCGCAUGAUGUUGAUUUGAAAGGUGCAAUUGCAUCACUAAGAGAUGGACCUGCGUUGUAUUAGCUAGUUGGUGAGGUAACGGCUCACCAAGGCGACGAUACAUAGCCGACCUGAGAGGGUGAUCGGCCACACUGGGACUGAGACACGGCCCAGACUCCUACGGGAGGCAGCAGUAGGGAAUCUUCGGCAAUGGGGGCAACCCUGACCGAGCAACGCCGCGUGAGUGAAGAAGGUUUUCGGAUCGUAAAGCUCUGUUGUAAGAGAAGAACGAGUGUGAGAGUGGAAAGUUCACACUGUGACGGUAACUUACCAGAAAGGGACGGCUAACUACGUGCCAGCAGCCGCGGUAAUACGUAGGUCCCGAGCGUUAUCCGGAUUUAUUGGGCGUAAAGCGAGCGCAGGCGGUUAGAUAAGUCUGAAGUUAAAGGCUGUGGCUUAACCAUAGUACGCUUUGGAAACUGUUUAACUUGAGUGCAGAAGGGGAGAGUGGAAUUCCAUGUGUAGCGGUGAAAUGCGUAGAUAUAUGGAGGAACACCGGUGGCGAAAGCGGCUCUCUGGUCUGUAACUGACGCUGAGGCUCGAAAGCGUGGGGAGCAAACAGGAUUAGAUACCCUGGUAGUCCACGCCGUAAACGAUGAGUGCUAGGUGUUGGGUCCUUUCCGGGACUCAGUGCCGCAGCUAACGCAUUAAGCACUCCGCCUGGGGAGUACGACCGCAAGGUUGAAACUCAAAGGAAUUGACGGGGGCCCGCACAAGCGG
Molecule: ribosomal RNA, 917 nt
Filed under: uncultured bacterium
Lineage: Bacteria
Description: bacterial SSU rRNA
Rfam family: Bacterial small subunit ribosomal RNA
Source: RNAcentral